Molecule: ribosomal RNA, 278 nt
Filed under: Lactiplantibacillus plantarum
Lineage: Bacteria; Bacillati; Bacillota; Bacilli; Lactobacillales; Lactobacillaceae
Description: Lactobacillus plantarum partial 16S ribosomal RNA
Rfam family: Bacterial small subunit ribosomal RNA
Source: RNAcentral
CAAUGGACGAAAGUCUGAUGGAGCAACGCCGCGUGAGUGAAGAAGGGUUUCGGCUCGUAAAACUCUGUUGUUAAAGAAGAACAUAUCUGAGAGUAACUGUUCAGGUAUUGACGGUAUUUAACCAGAAAGCCACGGCUAACUACGUGCCAGCAGCCGCGGUAAUACGUAGGUGGCAAGCGUUGUCCGGAUUUAUUGGGCGUAAAGCGAGCGCAGGCGGUUUUUUAAGUCUGAUGUGAAAGCCUUCGGCUCAACCGAAGAAGUGCAUCGGAAACUGGGAA